This 3223-nucleotide long non-coding RNA is filed under the name Triticum aestivum (bread wheat). RNAcentral's name for it is "long non-coding RNA (TAES_LNC019907)". Lineage: Eukaryota; Viridiplantae; Streptophyta; Magnoliopsida; Poales; Poaceae. The record is from RNAcentral.
UGGAAGGCUCUAGGGGAAUAAAGAAGGAAUGACUUCUAAUUUUUAGGUCCGUAUGAUUUGAAAUGUGUGCACACAAACCCCGAGAAAGCAUUCCUGGAAAUCUCGGCCCAAAAAAGGACGUUUAGUAAUUCUAAAAGGGACUACAGGAUGAAAAACAAUAGUUUUGGCAGUUAAAGUUUGAGAUUCGAUAAUGCCGUAGAUCCGUUUGGUCAUCAGGUGUAACGAGCCACACCCAUGUCUGGUUAGAGUAGUGUGCUAGGCUCAGACUAGAUAAGAAACGGGGAACAAACUGAUGAAAGAAUGAUCAUACCGAGCGAAUUCACUCAGAACUAACAAGAAUGAUAACAUGCUCCGACUGGAGCGGUUUAGGAACUGCUGGAAGGCUCUAGGGGAAUAAAGAUGGAAUGACUUCUAAUUUUUAGGUCCGUAUGAUUUGAAAUACUUGCACACAAACCACGCGAAAGCGUUCCUGGAAAUCUCAGCCCAAAAAAGGACGUUUAGUAAUUCUAAAAGGGACUACAGGAUGAAAAACAAUAGUUUUGGCAGUUAAAGUUUGAGAUUCGACAGUGCCGUAGAUCCGUUUGGUCAUCAGGUAUUACGAGCCACACCCAUGUCUAGCUAGAAUAGUGUGCUAGGCUCAGGCUAGAGAAGAAACGGGGAACAAACUGAUGAAAGAAUGAUCAAACCGAGGGAAUUCACUCAGAACUAACAAUAAUGAUAACGUGCUCCGACUGGUGCGGUUUAGGAACUGCUGGAAGGCUCUAGGGGAAUAAAGAUGGAAUGACUUCUAAUUUUUAGGUCCGUAUGAUUUGAAAUACUUGCACACAAACCGCGCGAAAGCGUUCCUGGAAAUCUCAGCCCAAAAAAGGACGUUUAGUAAUUUUAAAAGGGACUAUAGGAUGAAAAACAAUAGUUUUGGCAAUUAAAGUUUGAGAUUCGACGGUGUCGUAGAUCCGUUUGGUCAUCAGGUGUUACGAGCCACACCCAUGUCUAGCUAGAAUAGUAUGUCAGGCUCAGGUUAGAGUAGAAACGGGGAACAAACUGAUGAAAGAAUGAUCAUACCAAGGGAAUUCACUCAGAACUAUCAAGAAUGAUAACGUGCUCCGACUGGAGUGAUUUAGGAACUGCUGGAAGGCUCUAGGGGAAUAAAGAUGGAAUGACUUCUAAUUUUUACGUCCGUAUGAUUUGAAAUACUUGCACACAAAUCACGCAAAAGCGUUCCUGGAAAUCUCAGCCUAAAAAAGGACGUUUAGUAAUUCUAAAAGGGACUACAGGAUGAAAAACAAUAGUUUGGGCAGUUAAAAUUUGAGAUUCGACGGUGCCGUAGAUCCGUUUGGUCAUCAGGUGUUACGAGCGACACCCUUGUCUAGCUAGAAUAGUGUGUUAGGCUCAGACUAGAGAAGAAACGGGGAACAAAGUGAUGAAAGAAUGAUCAUACCGAGGGAAUUCACUCAGAACUAACAAGAAUGAUAACGUGCUCCGACUGGAGCGGUUUAGUAACUGCUGGAAGGCUCUAGGGGAAUGAAGAUGGAAUGACUUCUAAUUUUUAGGUCCGUAUGAUUUGAAAUACAUGCACACAAACCCUGAGAAAGCGUUCCUGGAAAUCUCGGUCGAAAAAAGGAUGUUUAAUAAUUCUAAAAGGGACUACCGGAUGAAAAACAAUAGUUUUGGCAGUUAAAGUUUGUGAUUCGAUGGUGCCGUAGAUCUGUUUGGUCAUCAGGUGUUACGAGCCACACCCAUGUCUAUCUAGAAUAGUGUGUUAGGCUCAGGCUAGAGCAGAAACGGGGAACAGACUUAUGAAAGAAUGAUCAUACCGAGGGAAUUCACUCAGAACUAACAAGAAUGAUAACGUGCUCCGACUGGCGCGGUUUAGGAACUGCUGGAAGGCUCUAGGGGAAUAAAGAUGGAAAGACUUCUAAUUUUUAGGUCCGUAUGAUUUGAAAUACUUGCACACAAACCGCACGAAAGCGUUCCUGGAAAUCUCAGCCUAAAAAGGAUGUUUAGUAAUUCUAAAAGGGACUACAAGAUGAAAAAUAAUAGUUUGGGCAGUUAAAAUUUGAGAUUCGACGAUGCCGUAGAUCCGUUUGGUCAUCAGGUGUUAUGAGCCACACCCAUGUCUAGCUAGAAUAGUGUGUUAGGCUCAGGCUAGAGAAGAAACGGGGAACAAACUGAUGAAAGAAUGAUCAUACCGAGGGAAUUCACUCAGAACUAACAAGAAUGAUAACGUGCUCCGACUGGAGCAGUUUAGAAACUGCUGGAAGGCUCUAAUGGAAUAAAGAUGGAAUGCCUUCAAAUUUCUAGGUCCGUAUGAUUUGAAAUACUUGCACACAAACCGCUCGAAAGCGUUCCUGGAAAUCUCAGCCCAAAAAAGGACGUUUAGUAAUUCUAAAAGGGACUACAGGAUGAAAAACAAUAGUUUUGGCAGUUAAAGUUUGAGAUUCGAUGGUGCCGUAGAUCCGUUUGGUCAUCAGGUGUAACGAGCCACACACAUGUCUAGCUAGAGUAGUGUGCUAGGCUCAGACUAGAGAAGAAACGGGGAACAAAGUGAUGAAAGAAUGAUCAUACCGAGGGAAUUCACUCAGAACUUACAAGAAUGAUAACGUGCUCCGACUGGAGCGCUUUAGUAACUGCUGGAAGGCUCUAGGCGAAUAAAGAUGGAAUGACUUCUAAUUUUUAGGUCCGUAUGAUUUGAAAUACUUGCACACAAACCACGCAAAACCGUUCCUAGAAAUCUCGGUCGAAAAAAGGACGUUUAGUAAUUCUAAAAGGGACUACAGGAUGAAAAACAAUAGUUUUGGCAGUUAAAGUUUGAGAUUCGAUGGUGCCGUAGAUCCGUUUGGUCAUCAGGUGUUACGAGCCACACCCAUGUCUAGCUAGAGUAGUGUGCUAGGUUCAGACUAGAGAAGAAACGGGGAACAAAGUGAUUAAAGAAUGAUCAUACCGAGGGAAUUCACUCAGAACUAACAAGAAUGAUAACGUGCUCCGACUGGAGCGGUUUAGGAACUGCUGGAAGGCUCUAGGGGAAUAAAGAUGGAAUGACUUCUAAUUUUUACGUCCGUAUGAUUUGAAAUACAUGCACACAAACCACGCAAAAGCGUUCCUGGAAAUCUCAGCCUAAAAAAGGACGUUUAGUAAUUCUAAAAGGGACUACAGGAUGAAAAAUAAUAGUUUGGGCAGUUAAAAUUUGAGAUUCGACGCUGCCGUAGAUCCGUUUGGUCAUCAG